Molecule: ribosomal RNA, 468 nt
Filed under: uncultured bacterium
Lineage: Bacteria
Description: partial 16S ribosomal RNA
Rfam family: Bacterial small subunit ribosomal RNA
Source: RNAcentral
GACGAACGCUGGCGGCGUGCUUAACACAUGCAAGUCGAACGGAAAGGCCCUGCUUUUGUGGGGUGCUCGAGUGGCGAACGGGUGAGUAACACGUCAGUAACCUGCCCUUGACUUUUGGAUAACUUCAGGAAACUGGGGCUAAUACCGGAUAGGAGCUCCUGCUGCAUGGUGGGGGUUGGAAAGUUUCGGCGGUUGGGGAUGGACUCGCGGCUUAUCAGCUUGUUGGUGGGGUAGUGGCUUACCAAGGCUUUGACGGGUAGCCGGCCUGAGAGGGUGACCGGCCACAUUGGGACUGAGAUACGGCCCAGACUCCUACGGGAGGCAGCAGUGGGGAAUAUUGCACAAUGGGCGGAAGCCUGAUGCAGCAACGCCGCGUGCGGGAUGACGGCCUUCGGGUUGUAAACCGCUUUCGCCUGUGACGAAGCGUGAGUGACGGUAAUGGGUAAAGAAGCACCGGCUAACUACGUG